UACAGGGGUGCAAGCGUUGUUCGGAAUUAUUGGGCGUAAAGCGCGUGGAGGCGGCUUUGCAAGUCGGGUGUGAAAGCCCUCAGCUCAACUGAGGAAGUGCGCCCGAAACUGCAGAGCUUGAGUGCCGGAGAGGGUGGCGGAAUUCCCCAAGUAGAGGUGAAAUUCGUAGAUAUGGGGAGGAACACCGGUGGCGAAGGCGCCCACCUGGACGGCAACUGACGCUGAGACGCGAAAGCGUGGGGAGCAAACAGG
RNAcentral lists this ribosomal RNA (252 nucleotides) under uncultured bacterium. Its description in RNAcentral is "partial 16S ribosomal RNA". It matches the Rfam family "Bacterial small subunit ribosomal RNA", at positions 524 to 776 of the family's 1533-position model. The record is from RNAcentral.